UCCUGGUUAGCUCAGUUGGUAGUGCACUCUACUGGAAGUGGAGAGGUCCCUGGUUCGACACCAGGACCAGGUG
RNAcentral lists this transfer RNA (73 nucleotides) under Ixodes scapularis (black-legged tick). It matches the Rfam family "tRNA". From Rfam's summary of the family: Transfer RNA (tRNA) molecules are approximately 80 nucleotides in length. Their secondary structure includes four short double-helical elements and three loops (D, anti-codon, and T loops). The record is from Rfam by way of RNAcentral. Lineage: Eukaryota; Metazoa; Arthropoda; Arachnida; Ixodida; Ixodidae.